Molecule: ribosomal RNA, 253 nt
Filed under: uncultured bacterium
Lineage: Bacteria
Description: partial 16S ribosomal RNA
Rfam family: Bacterial small subunit ribosomal RNA
Source: RNAcentral
UACGGAGGGUGCGAGCGUUGUUCGGAAUCACUGGGCGUAAAGCGCGUGUAGGCGGCCUCCUAAGUCUGGUGUGAAAGCCCGGGGCUCACCCCCGGAAGUGCAUUGGAUACUGGGAGGCUGGAGUACCGAAGAGGAGGGUGGAAUUCCUGGUGUAGCGGUGAAAUGCGUAGAUAUCAGGAGGAACACCGGUGGCGAAGGCGGCCCUCUGGUCGGAUACUGACGCUGAGACGCGAAAGCGUGGGGAGCAAACAGG